Molecule: transfer RNA, 76 nt
Filed under: Anaerolineaceae bacterium
Lineage: Bacteria; Bacillati; Chloroflexota; Anaerolineae; Anaerolineales; Anaerolineaceae
Description: tRNA-Arg
Rfam family: tRNA
About the family: Transfer RNA (tRNA) molecules are approximately 80 nucleotides in length. Their secondary structure includes four short double-helical elements and three loops (D, anti-codon, and T loops). Further hydrogen bonds mediate the characteristic L-shaped molecular structure. tRNAs have two regions of fundamental functional importance: the anti-codon, which is responsible for specific mRNA codon recognition, and the 3' end, to which the tRNAs corresponding amino acid is attached (by aminoacyl-tRNA synthetases). tRNAs cope with the degeneracy of the genetic code in two manners: having more than one tRNA (with a specific anti-codon) for a particular amino acid; and 'wobble' base-pairing, i.e. permitting non-standard base-pairing at the 3rd anti-codon position.
Source: RNAcentral
ACCCCCGUAGCUCAACGGACAGAGCACCGGACUUCUAAUCCGAUUGUUGUGGGUUCGAAUCCCACCGGGGGUGCCA